This 430-nucleotide ribosomal RNA is filed under the name uncultured bacterium. RNAcentral's name for it is "bacterial SSU rRNA". It matches the Rfam family "Bacterial small subunit ribosomal RNA", at positions 330 to 775 of the family's 1533-position model. The record is from RNAcentral.
CCCAGACUCCUACGGGAGGCAGCAGUGGGGAAUAUUGGGCAAUGGGCGCAAGCCUGACCCAGCAACGCCGCGUGAAGGAAGAAGGCUUUCGGGUUGUAAACUUCUUUUAAGAGGGAAGAGUAGAAGACGGUACCUCUUGAAUAAGCCACGGCUAACUACGUGCCAGCAGCCGCGGUAAUACGUAGGUGGCAAGCGUUGUCCGGAUUUACUGGGUGUAAAGGGCGUGUAGCCGGGCCGGCAAGUCAGAUGUGGAGGCCCAAGGCUCAACCUUGGAACUGCAUUUGAAACUGUUGGUCUUGAGUAUCGGAGAGGAAGGCGGAAUUCCUAGGGUAGCGGUGAAAUGCGUGGAAAUUAGGAGGAACACCAGUGGCGAAGGCGGCCUGCUGGACGACAACUGACGGUGAGGCGCGAAAGCGUGGGGAGCAAACAG